CUUGACCGAGCCGAGCCAGAGCGGCUGCUGCGGAUCCCGGCCCUGCCCGUACGUGGCGAGCAGCGCCUGGGCCUC
Non-coding RNA from Micromonospora rifamycinica, 75 nucleotides. The record is from Rfam. Lineage: Bacteria; Bacillati; Actinomycetota; Actinomycetes; Micromonosporales; Micromonosporaceae.